RNAcentral lists this ribosomal RNA (319 nucleotides) under Acinetobacter baumannii. Its description in RNAcentral is "bacterial SSU rRNA". It matches the Rfam family "Bacterial small subunit ribosomal RNA", at positions 451 to 772 of the family's 1533-position model. Lineage: Bacteria; Pseudomonadati; Pseudomonadota; Gammaproteobacteria; Moraxellales; Moraxellaceae. The record is from RNAcentral.
AAUACCUAGAGAUAGUGGACGUUACUCGCAGAAUAAGCACCGGCUAACUCUGUGCCAGCAGCCGCGGUAAUACAGAGGGUGCGAGCGUUAAUCGGAUUUACUGGGCGUAAAGCGUGCGUAGGCGGCUUAUUAAGUCGGAUGUGAAAUCCCCGAGCUUAACUUGGGAAUUGCAUUCGAUACUGGUGAGCUAGAGUAUGGGAGAGGAUGGUAGAAUUCCAGGUGUAGCGGUGAAAUGCGUAGAGAUCUGGAGGAAUACCGAUGGCGAAGGCAGCCAUCUGGCCUAAUACUGACGCUGAGGUACGAAAGCAUGGGGAGCAAA